UUCCAUCAAAUCUGAGAAUAACUCUCCUGCAUCAACUGGACCAGAUUCAUCUGAAGAGGCUUUGAUCUGGAGCGAAGAAAACCUGUUGGAAUCUGUUUCACAGAGAUUAUCAUUAUUCAUUAUGCACACGGUUUUCCAAGAGAUGAAUCUUCAUGAGACAAUUGCUACAUUUUUUAAGAUACAAAUGGUAGGAAAUCACAACAGAAAUUCCAGUAUAUUAUGGAACCAGCAUGUCAGGUCGUCUAUGUCUCAAUCCUAUCUGGAGAACAUAAUGCCAUCCUUCUCAUUUACCAGAAAAAUUGUUAAACCCCACGAGAAAGAAGAUGCUCACACCCACCUCACGCUAAGAUCAUCAUACUUUAUUUGUUCAGUUCCACUGGAUUUACCAUUUGGUAUGGUAUUCACUAAAGUUUUAUCUAACUUAUGAUUUAAAAUAUUGGUCAUAAACAUGAUUUUAUAAAAAUCCACAAAAUCCCCAUUCAUUUUAACCCCAAAAAGAUACCAGCCCCGGAGCUGAAACGGCUCUCAGUAGAGAACUGAGAGACAGCACUCCAACAUUGGGCUUCUAGUUCAGUAAUUCAAAAUUUCUCCCACACAUUUAUGGGAAAAAAAUAUUGGAUGAAGGGAACUCUGUGAUCAACUAAUCAAAGUCCUGGAAAAGAAGUUCCACCUUUAAUAGAUUUGAACUGAUAAGCUUUAGAAUCAACAACAACCCCUCAAUCUAUAAAGCUUUAAGUAGCUAUCUUUUCACCAAAAAAUAGAAAAAGAAGCCAAAAUCUCUAACCCUUCUCUGACUAACUUCUUACAAUAGACGCAGUAUCUUGGAGUAAUCUUUCAAAAAACCAAGCGUGGAUAUUGCUUGGGUCCAUUGGGUACUCAAUUUCGAGAAGGGGUUUGGUAUUUUAGCAAAUUCAACAAAGCCCAAAAUUUCCAACAAAAGUACACUGCAGCUUUUAGGGCAUAGCUAUCUGAACUACGGCUGAAACCCAAUAAAUUCUUCGCAAUUUUAAAUCAACAAAACACAGAGACAUUCUAGAAAAAUUGAAAUUACCCAGUACCCACAUCAUUCAUCAACCGUAUUUUCUGGGUUUGUAAAAUCCAGCUUAAAGCUAUCGAAGGAGCAAAGAUUCCAUAACAAUUCAAACCACGAUUAACCAAUAUACAAUUCAGUAGAACGGAUGCCUUGUACAUAAACAAAUUACUAUGCAAUGUUGAUUUUCCAAAUUAAGUUUGUUUAUAUGCAAUUUUUGUCACAUACUUGCAUCUCUAUGGUUGUACACUUGUAGAACAUCUAACUGCAUGUGUCAAGUUCUGGUUUUUAUGGGAAAGCACCACCUAUACUUUGGCGAUGAACUCAUAAAUUCAUAAUAUUAUUCAAGACUUUGUCUAGCUGACAUGUUUGGGACUAACUGUAACCCAGUGGUCGUUCACUACCAUAGGCUGGCCACAAAUUUUCAACUUUUCAUUCUUUCGGGCCUAUUUAUCAGUUCAUUUUCAGGCCAGAAAAUCCCUCAUUCCAUCAACUCAAUGUUUGCUCUUUACUGGGUCCAGACCCGGUCAUCUUUGUUCCUCAUGUAUGGUUUCUGUUUCUAGGUUCUCAUGAGUGCACUGAUUGCUACCUUUUUGUUUUCUUCUCUAGUUUUUUUUUUGCUCUUGCCUCCGGUCUAUCUUCUCACAUUUCUUUACUCCUUGCUUCUGAACAAUUUUAUUUUAUUUUCGAUGGUUUAUCAUUCUGUACCUUCAGACACAAUAAGAAUGUGUUUGACAGUGAUUAUAGAAAAUGUUUUUAAUAUUUCUAAUGUUUAAAAUUUUUUAUUUUUUAAGUAUUAAAAAUACUAGAAACAAUUAUGAAAAUCACUAUUAAAUACAUUCUAAGUCUCCUAGUCUCUUUACAAAAUUUGUGCAACAAUAUAUGCAUCAAUCAAAUAUCAUCCCAGAAUCAUCUCUCAGUUCAUGAUAGGAUUCAUGCGUUAGUCCAUUUAUAGAUUUAGAAUAGGCCAAUUAAGAAUGAAAUUGAAAUAAUUAUCUAAGACUUUCUAGGUAUAGUGGUAGAGUGGAAAGGAUAUCUAAUAGAUUUCAAGUAGUGGAUAAAGAUUUCUUGAAUUUAGUUGCAUUUAAAAUAUUUCUUCUCAAUAUUGAUAGAUUUUCUAAGAUGAAUCAGCCAUAUGUUUCUUUUUUCGGCUAAGCUUAUUCAGCUUUAUGAUUUUUUUUUACUAAAAUCCUGUUGACAUUUUAGGAGCAAGAAGGAGAAUCACAGAUUAUUUAUGAAAUGUAACAACCCUCUACAUGAGAUAUUGUCCACUUUAGCUUUUACGGUUUUAAAAUACAUCCACAUACUUAAGAUGGGUUCUUUACAUAUAUAGGAAUUUCUCUCCAGAUAUGGAAUAUCACAAUGAUACCAUGACAUUGUGUUCGACAAGAUUGCGAUGCCAUUUGGACAAACACCCAAUGCAUGAUUGAUUGACAUUGAUAUAAUUUAUUGCAACACACUCCUCCAUAUGGAAUGUACAAAUUGUAUGCAAAAGGGAGCAAGUCAUUUCACGAAAUGCUCAAAACCCAGGAACAAUUGUGUGCUGAUGGGGUUAAAUCCAGACAACAAACAUAUAGCAUGAGGGCUUUUGUGGUAGCAUAUAAGUAAAUGCAAGAAGAACCUGUUUAAGUUGAUUUUCUUAGUAGAUAUGCUAGCAUAGUUUUUUUUUCUUUGAUAUCCGUGGAUGUCCGGUCUAGCUUACGCGCAUCUUGACUAAUCCCACGGGACCCUGAAGUUAAUGACUAGGUAAACCUCCAAUGGCCUUGAGGGGACUCGAACUGGUGACCAUUGGGGAGCAAACCGAAGACCGGACCAAUAGAUAUGCUAGCAUAGUUGAAGCUAUUUGUGAAGAGAAUUGCUAAUUAUAUUUUCAAAAACAAUCUGGUUGAUACAUCGACCACUACACAAGAAUAUAGUACAGGAUCCAAGUGUCUCUUAUGAAGAACAUUAGAAUAUCCAUAUCUUUUAGGAUCAAGGAUCAUACAAAAUGCAAAACAUACUAUUGCCUUGCAAUUGGUGAGGCUAUUCACUUCCUGAAAUCUUUUUCUUCAAUGCUUCAAUAUCUGUGGCCAGUUCCUUUCGGCUUGACUGGGAAAAUAAUCACAAUUGUUAGCAACAUGUAGUUUGCAUUAUAAGACCAUAGAUUAUGUCAAAACAAUAUUAAAAGGAAAUUGAACACAUAAAUCCAUGAAGUAUUAAGAACAAGUAUGACUUGCAAUAUUAGGAAUUUUUUCCUUUUUUUUGGGAUAAGAAAGUAAUUAAAAUUUACUAAAGUUUAAAUAGCAUGGAAGAAGCAUUCACAGUGCCUGCCACUAUGGAUCUGUCACGAAUAAUUAGAAGAUAAGUUGCAGCAAUUUUGUAAUGAUUUGUGAAUUAUUGAAAAUAAUGCCACAAAUUGAGGUUAAACAUGCUUAAAGAAGCACACUCAUAUAACUUGGACCUCCUAAGAAGUCAGAGAUAGUUUAAUAUCAUGCUUACAAUCCAAUUGUUUCUUAGACGACAUAUUUGAUUUAGAUUAUGGAGUCACAUUCGUGGCAUAAUAUAGUCACUGGAGAUGCUAAUUUCAAUAUCAGACAUGUCAAUUCAUAGAGAGGUUUUUCUGAUUUUACCUUAAAGAGAAGGUAUCGGUAGACAAACCAUCCAGUAUAUCCAAGUCCCACCAACUCCAUGACUUUUGGAAGCUGGCAAAUGAAAGACGGAUUAAUUCAGAAGCUUUAUAUUCAUUACCCAAUUGCACAUUGUUUAUUAAAAAUGACUGAAGAACAGUAAGAUCACUUACCAAAGGGACCGAAUUGAUAGCACUAACAAUGAUGGAAGACAGCCAAACUGCAACUAUUGCCCCACCUCCAUAGAUAAAAACUGUGGAUUUGUUUUCGAGUGCAUCCCACUGUUAAAAGGUAAAGGAAAUUUAGACAGAGGCUUAUAAUAAAAUGGAAAAAUAUAUAACUGAUUGCUUGGGCAGUCAGACACGAUCCCAGUCUUGAAAAAAAAAAAAGAAAAAAAGAAAACUCGGCACUCUAUAACCUAGAGGCCAUUGUUGUCGGUCUAGGAGUGUAAAGACCUACUAGAUCCUGUAAUCAUAGAUCAGAGGACAGACACAGUAAUUAGGAUGGUGUUGCUUCCAUUUUACUGAAAAAUUGAAGGUAAUUGUGAUUCACCUUUAUGCCUAGGUUUGUUACCUGGUAAAGGCUUAACCCGAGAAGGGUUGAAACCAUGUAGUACCAAAGGGUGAUCAUUCAGAUAUCAAUGCUUAUACCCAUCAAUGUUACACAUUGUGAUAAGUCUCAUAUGUGUGUAAAGACACCAAAAUCCAAUGGCCAUAGGUAGAGUUAACUACAUGCAUUUUUCUGACUCAUUUCUCACGACCAAAUACUAAAUGCAAAGUAUGAGAGAAAAUGAUAGGUUCCCACCCUUUCCAUCAAAUCCGAGAAUAACUCUCCUGCAUCAACUGGACCAGAUUCAUCUGAAGAGGCUUUGAUCUGGAGCGAAGAAAACCUGUUGGAAUCUGUUUCACAGAGAUUAUCAUUAUUCAUUAUGCACACGGUUUUCCAAGAGAUGAAUCUUCAUGAGACAAUUCCUAAAUUUUUUAAAAUACAAAUGGUAGGAAAUCACAACAGAAAUUCCAGUAUAUUAUGGAACCAGCAUGCCAGGUCAUCCAUGUCUCAAUCCUAUCUGGAG
Molecule: long non-coding RNA, 4708 nt
Filed under: Vitis vinifera (wine grape)
Lineage: Eukaryota; Viridiplantae; Streptophyta; Magnoliopsida; Vitales; Vitaceae
Description: long non-coding RNA (VVIN_LNC005546)
Source: RNAcentral